GCAGGCCUAACACAUGCAAGUCGAGGGGUAACAUAAGUGCUUGCACUUGAUGACGACCGGCGGACGGGUGCGUAACGCGUAUACAAUCUACCUAUUACUAAGAGAUAGCCCAGAGAAAUUUGGAUUAAUAUUUUAUGGUAUUACGAUUUGGCAUCAAGUUGUAAUUAAAGGUAACGGUAAUAGAUGAGUAUGCGUCCUAUUAGCUAGAUGGUAAGGUAACGGCUUACCAUGGCAACGAUAGGUAGGGGUCCUGAGAGGGAGAUCCCCCACACUGGUACUGAGACACGGACCAGACUCCUACGGGAGGCAGCAGUGAGGAAUAUUGGACAAUGGGAGCAAUCCUGAUCCAGCCAUGCCGCGUGCAGGAAGACUGCCCUAUGGGUUGUAAACUGCUUUUAUACAGGAAGAAAAAGGUGUACGAGUACACUGUUGACGGUACUGUAAGAAUAAGGAUCGGCUAACUCCGUGCCAGCAGCCGCGGUAAUACGGAGGAUCCAAGCG
This 501-nucleotide ribosomal RNA is filed under the name uncultured bacterium. Its description in RNAcentral is "bacterial SSU rRNA". It matches the Rfam family "Bacterial small subunit ribosomal RNA", at positions 42 to 540 of the family's 1533-position model. The record is from RNAcentral.